AUGCCAACUGCCAGCUCUGAAUCCCUUGUUGGGAUCAUACAACUGGAUCAGCAGCAUGGAAAGAUUGGGAACAGUGUGGAGGUGACAGGAGCUUCCAACCCGCUCUGCUCCCAAGAAGAGAUGGGGGAGGUCAAGGCACCCAGAAGAGGUGCUGGAGAUGAGGCAAAAGGAGAGAGACACAUCCUAGGAGAAGUCCCAGCCUCUCAGGUCUUUCCUCUGGGCUCCUGGAACAGCAAAGCUUUCCUGAAGCCCUCUGCUCUCUGCAGAAAAAAUGUUUUUGUUUUCUCUUUUACCUUCCUUGUUGCCUCUAACUUCCUUUUGAGCUCUGGGGUUGAAAGGCUUGGCAAUGGUUCUAAGAGGUCUGAAAGUCUGGGUGCAUGUCUGUCUUCACUUACAGAACUGUUACCCAUCAUUUGGGGAGUUGGGAGCAUCUCUGUUGGGGGGAGAUCUGACAUAUUUGCCAAGCUUAAGAAAAUGUCCUCUGCCCCCAAGGGAGGAGCUUUGGAGUUAGACAUUUUCCCUAUGGGAAUCUUUUGGUUUGGUUUGUGGGGGGGUGGGGAGGGUCAGAGGAGGGAGAGGGUAAGUGCUUUUAUCUAUAGUCUCCAACAUAGCUGGUCUUACACUGAAUUUGUGCUAUUGCAUACAUGUAGCCAUCUUUCUUUUCACUGCAGCAGUGUUUAUCGGUAGUUCAAAGUAAUUUAUUUGCUCCUGGGGAGUAAAACUUUUUUAUUUAAAAAGAAAAAAAAAAUUAAUGAACAACCUCCCCCCCCUCCCUUUAAAAUGACCCUUAUAAUAAUUGUCUAAGGAUUAUUGGGUCAUAAGACUUAAGAAGGCAGAGUCAGGUACAGAAGUCCUUGUGAUAUCCAGUUAUAACCUGGGGAAUGUGAUCCUUCAUGCUCAGCACAAUCUAGAGGAGGAUUUGGAAAUGAUAGAUUUGGGAUGGGGGUGGGGGGUAGUGGGUAAGCCACAAAGACAGGGAAGCUAGGGAUCCAGGUGCUGCAGUUAAAACAGAAAUGGUGAUGCACUGUUUUUAAAGUCUUAUUUUCUGACAUAAGGAAAACCUUUUCUUUACGUACAGAUUAUAUGACAUUUCUGUCCUUGUCCUCUUCACUCCUUUUCCCCUUUCUGGCUUGGUGCUGCCACCAUGUUUCUUCCCCAUUCUUCCUGUUGUUCUCCAUUGGUCUCUUUCCAGCCGGCCCUGCAUGCUGGGUUUGUUGACUCACCGUCAUUUGUAUUUUGUCUCGUCUUAAAGAGUCCAUGGAAUACUUCCCACAGAAGGGCAUGAGGCAGCAGCCAAGAAGGAAAUAAGACAGCCAACAGUAGUAGGAUAGACUUAAAUGACUGGUCGUAGCUGGACUGCGAUCUUCUUUGCCCCUAGAGAAGGAAUGCAAGAAAAACAUAGUUUAUACCCUUCACCAAAACUAAAGUGGUCAGUCACAGACAUAGGGCCUCAGCUCAGAAGCUGGAAUCUUCUCUGCCUUAGCUCCUCAACCUGCAGAAAUGGAUCAAGAAUAUCUGCUUGAUUUCUCCCACCCAGGAUUCUCUCUUGGGAAGGUUCUAACCCCUAGAGUUGCACCAUGAAUUUUCCAAAGAACAUAAAAAUCCAGACACUGGUCUCUUGGAAGAUUAGCCUGUUUGAGUGCAGAAACUGGUGUUGUCAGUGACAAAACCACGUCUCUCUAUUUGUGUUCUAGGGAAACUUUAAAAGUAGGGUAUCCAAAUCUGGGCUCAGGUUGUUUGCUAGUUCUCAACCAGAAGCUAACCAGUCCUUUCCCCUUCACUUCCCACCCCCAACUUUGUGCCCUUCUUGAAGUCAUCCUCACUUCCACCAGCCCAAAGUGACCUGGCUUCUUUUCCCACUUAGUUUGGACACAUUUUUCUCCCCACCUUCCCCUUAUUCCCUAUCUUUUUUGUGCUUAAUUUAUUAAAAUAGUUACUGUAUAAUUUAUUUUCAUAAACUAUUAAAAUGUACUAAAUGGUUAAAAAUAAACUUGCAGGCCAAUCUUUAAGUGGGGAAGAG
Molecule: long non-coding RNA, 2020 nt
Organism: Phascolarctos cinereus (koala)
Lineage: Eukaryota; Metazoa; Chordata; Mammalia; Diprotodontia; Phascolarctidae
Source: Ensembl